CUGCCCAGAGCCAUCACCACCACCAAUAACACACAUUUACACUGAACAGUACCACUGCUUCUCUUUCUCUUAUUCACUAUUAUCCCUAACAGGAUUUUGACAACUGAUUUUCCCAUUAGAUCAUUAAGCCUGAGCUUUGACUUUACACUGACCUCAGGUUUAUAUGAACACUAUCCCUUUAUAUGUCAUUGUAUAUUUUUCUAAACCUUUUAUUUGAUUGCUCACAAAUCAGAACAAAUUAAAGUUGUCAACUUAGGAAGAGUUUGCUUUUGCAAUUGCUUCUGUGAGAAAAAGAAUGAGUUGGGAAUGUUUGAGGCAAAUGGAAGAGUAGAGAGUGGACUGCAGCAGGUUCAACUCCUUUGCUGCAGGGAUGGAACAUGUUCACAGCUAAGAGCUGUGCCAGCAGAUUUAGCUCCUCUACCAAUGGACAGAUGAAUUUAUGAAAGGCUGUGAAAUGUCCCCAAGUAGCCAGCAGUGAAUGAAGACAGCCGAGGUUUCAUAUUCUUUUCAACUUCAGACUGGCAAUUAUUCCUAGAAGACCCUUGGUAUCCAGCAGUAUUCAGGGCUGGGAAAUUGGAAGGACCCUCCAGGGUAAAUGCUGCCAUUUAUUAAAAAGAGCACUGAAGAGAAGACAGAUGCUUUGCUGCUGAACCAGUAAG
Mustela erminea (ermine) is the source of this 659-nucleotide long non-coding RNA. RefSeq lists it as uncharacterized. Lineage: Eukaryota; Metazoa; Chordata; Mammalia; Carnivora; Mustelidae. The record is from RefSeq and is a predicted model, not a curated record. The transcript has 3 exons.